ACGGAGGAGGCUAGCGUUGUUCGGAAUUACUGGGCGUAAAGCGCGCGCAGGCGGCUUUGCAAGUCAGGGGUGAAAGCCCGAGGCUCAACCUCGGAACUGCCUUUGAGACUGCAAGGCUCGAGACCGGGAGAGGAGAGUGGAAUUCCCAGUGUAGAGGUGAAAUUCGUAGAUAUUGGGAAGAACACCAGUGGCGAAGGCGGCUCUCUGGCCCGGACCUGACGCUGAGGCGCGAAAGCUAGGGGAGCAAACAGGA
This 253-nucleotide ribosomal RNA is filed under the name uncultured prokaryote. Its description in RNAcentral is "partial 16S ribosomal RNA". It matches the Rfam family "Bacterial small subunit ribosomal RNA", at positions 525 to 777 of the family's 1533-position model. The record is from RNAcentral.